UAAGAAGGGGGCUAGCGUUGCUCGGAAUCACUGGGCGUAAAGGGUGCGUAGGCGGGUCUUUAAGUCAGGGGUGAAAUCCUGGAGCUCAACUCCAGAACUGCCUUUGAUACUGAGGAUCUUGAGUUCGGGAGAGGUGAGUGGAACUGCGAGUGUAGAGGUGAAAUUCGUAGAUAUUCGCAAGAACACCAGUGGCGAAGGCGGCUCACUGGCCCGAUACUGACGCUGAGGCACGAAAGCGUGGGGAGCAAACAGG
This 253-nucleotide ribosomal RNA is filed under the name uncultured bacterium. RNAcentral's name for it is "partial 16S ribosomal RNA". It matches the Rfam family "Bacterial small subunit ribosomal RNA", at positions 524 to 776 of the family's 1533-position model. The record is from RNAcentral.